UCAAAUCUCUUAGUUGAUGAUCUCGAUCCAACCUUAUCCCGGAUCAACCUUAUGUUACAUUAUGUCUUUCAUUUCAUGUUUUUUGUUUUCAAACUUGUCUUUUGUUUCUAUUUCCAAGAGAAACCGUGUGCCUUUACUCUCUUGAUAGUUUUCGAGAAGCUUGGAGUCUGUUCCAACUUCUCUUAUAUAAGUGUACUUUGAA
Molecule: long non-coding RNA, 202 nt
Filed under: Brassica rapa (field mustard)
Lineage: Eukaryota; Viridiplantae; Streptophyta; Magnoliopsida; Brassicales; Brassicaceae
Description: long non-coding RNA (BRAP_LNC008613)
Source: RNAcentral